Molecule: unclassified non-coding RNA, 1299 nt
Filed under: Ooceraea biroi (clonal raider ant)
Lineage: Eukaryota; Metazoa; Arthropoda; Insecta; Hymenoptera; Formicidae
Description: uncharacterized LOC105282607, transcript variant X1
Source: RNAcentral
UGCGAAGCCUCAAUGACCGCCAAUGAUGGUCUGUAUUAGGAAGCGGUUCUUCAACUCAAAUCGGCUACUUUUGCUCCCUUUCGGCUUGUGGUUUGAUGAGGAAACGAUAGUCACUCGUUUUCAGGCUACAUUGUUUUCCAGUCUUUUGAUAAGCAGCAUUGUAUUUCAGCUCUCAAGACUUUUCAUUGCAGAAUGUAACUUUGACUUUAUUGUCAGAAUAUUGUCUUCCACGUCAAUCUAUGUCAUGUUCGCGAGUGUGCCUAUCGUAUUUUGGAUUCACAUGAAAACUAUCACAUAUUUAUUCGACCAACUGCAAUACAUCUACGACCGGCUAAAGGAUAGAAACGAAAUUGCUAUUUAUGACAAAUAUGGAUACUUUGCAAAACAUGUUACGACUGUAAUGAUAAUAAUUCUUGUAUGCGACCUAUGUGGUAGUUCUAUCAUUAUAUAUUGGCCAUUUAUUCUUAAUAUCAUUGUACCGAAAAAUGAGUCUUAUGCAAUUCGUAUGACUCAAUUUAUAUCCGUGUACUUCAAUGUCUCAGAGAAGUAUUGUGUUUUAGUUUUGGUACAUUUAGCUGCAGCCGCUAGUACAGGGUUAAUUGUAUUUAUAGGGACAGGAACCAUGUUGUUUUCGUAUUUGCAGCAUAUCUGCGGUAUGUUUGAAAUUGCUAGCUACCGUAUUGAACAAGCAAUGGCGAUUGAAUUGUUACAUAAUUUUCAUAUAAAAAAUAGAAAUGUGAUAUGCAGGAAGAUGAUAUGUGCUAUAGAUAUACAACGCCAAGCUAUGGAGUUCGCUAAACAUUUGAUAACUAGCAUGGAAGGAAUAGUUUUAUUUUUGAUAAUAAUUACUGUGCUUUGCAUGACUUGCAAUCUUUUACGAAUAUUUCAAAUAGAAUCACCUAUGGAAAGGAUGGACGAGAUUUUAUUACACCUUUGGGCUGUACUUUUCAUUCUGAUAAUCCUAUUCCUAUCCAAUUAUGUUGGGCAAGAAGUUACAGAUUAUAGUAAUCACGUAUAUGAAAUUACAAGGCAAAUAAAUAAUACAAGCAAUAUGUGAAAAAUUAACACAAAAUUGUAACACUUGGACAUUAUGUGGAAGUAAAGUUUAUGUUGCAUUUACAUAUUGAAAAUAUUAAAUUGCAUUGAAAUAAAAUGUUAUUCUUUCAUUUUUUAGAAGUAAGAAUAAUCUUCAAUACGCCAGUAAUUUCAAUUAGAUCAAUGUUUAUUUUCGACCAAACUGACUAACAAAGUUGUAAGUUAGCACAACGUUGCGACCUCCGUUUGAGGUCCUCCUCAGGU